RNAcentral lists this ribosomal RNA (390 nucleotides) under uncultured bacterium. RNAcentral's name for it is "bacterial SSU rRNA". It matches the Rfam family "Bacterial small subunit ribosomal RNA", at positions 30 to 404 of the family's 1533-position model. The record is from RNAcentral.
AGUGAACGCUGGCGGCAGGCCUAACACAUGCAAGUCGAGCGGCAGCGGGUUCCCGCGAGGGGAUGCCGGCGAGCGGCGGACGGGUGAGGAACACAUCGGAAUCUGCCUGGUUGUGGGGGAUAACGUAGGGAAACUUACGCUAAUACCGCAUGAGACCCUGAGUCGACGGACUGGGGGUGAAAGUGAGGGACCUUCGGGCCUCACGCGACCAGAUGAGCCGAUGCGGAUUAGCUAGUUGGCGGGGUAACGGCCCGCCAAGGCGACGAUCCGUAGCUGGUCUGAGAGGAUGAUCAGCCACACUGGGACUGAGACACGGCCCAGACUCCUACGGGAGCAGCAGUGGGGAAUCUUGGACAAUGGGCGCAAGCCUGAUCCAGCCAUGCCGCGUGG